UCGGCGUGGUCGGGUCAGCGGCCCGGGCAGCCCUUGGGACGGCUGCCUGUCCGUGCUCAGGGUUGGGACCGAUGGCCUCUCCUUUGUGACCUCAGGGACGUGUGUCCCGGGAGUCAUGUGCCCAGGGUGUGGCCCCCACACAAACUGUGAGGCGACAGCCUAAAGGGCUCGGGCGCCAGGCUGGGCUGUGGGGGGCUCCCCCUGUCCCGACCCUGGGGCCUGCCCCCGCCCUGUGGCAAAGGCCUCCUUCCUGGCCUAGGGUGAAGAAACGCAUUCCCGGCACAUACCAUCCGCUCUCGGUGGGGUUCACCUGCCUCCCGGAGCGCCCAGGUGGCGCCCAUCGCUAGUCUGAGCUGAGGAACAGCCAGACUGCUUCCGGGGUGCAGGGUCAGCCAGCCGGGGCCCCCACACCACAGCCGUGGAGCUGAGGAAGGCUGUAGAUCCCAGCUGCCUACGUUCAUCGGAUAGAGGACAUUCAGAACCCGGACUCCGGCCACGCGACGGCCGCUGGGCACCGCGCCCCGUGGACACUGCUUACGGACUGACCGAGGGAGACCGCUGACCGCUCCCUGGGGACGCCGCUGAUGGAACGAGGGAGUCCACUGACCGAGGGCACCCAGUUACUUCCCACCGUCUCCUCGUUCAUGCACACAGUUGCUUAAAAGUAUUUGUUGAGCCCCUGCAGAGGCCACCGGACACGGCCCUGUCCCCCAGAGCCCUCCCGGGAGACGCACACAGGCGCCACCACGAGGGCUGUGCCUUUUCUCUAGACACAGGCUCCUCAGUCGCUGUUCUUCAGGCUGAUUUCCAAGAGGCGCUCCCCUAGAUCUCAGAGGGCUCCUGGGGCACCGGGGCGGCUCAGUCGGUUAAGCGUCCGACUUCGGCUCAGGUCACCAUCUCACGGCUCCUGAGUUCGAGCCCCGCGUCGGGCUCCGUGCUGACAGCCCGGAGCCUGGAGCUGCUUCGGACUCUGUGUCUCCCUCUCUCUCUGCCCCUCCCCUGCUCAAGCUCUGUGUCUCUUUCCCUCAAAACUAAAUAAACAUGAAAAAAUCGUU
Molecule: long non-coding RNA, 1055 nt
Organism: Neofelis nebulosa (Clouded leopard)
Lineage: Eukaryota; Metazoa; Chordata; Mammalia; Carnivora; Felidae
Exons: 2
Source: RefSeq, a predicted model, not a curated record